GUUAGCGUAGCUUAACUAAAGCAUGACACUGAAGAUGUUAAGACGAGCCCUAGAAAGGCCCCGCAGACA
This 69-nucleotide transfer RNA is filed under the name Nannacara anomala (goldeneye cichlid). Its description in RNAcentral is "tRNA-Phe". It matches the Rfam family "tRNA". From Rfam's summary of the family: Transfer RNA (tRNA) molecules are approximately 80 nucleotides in length. Their secondary structure includes four short double-helical elements and three loops (D, anti-codon, and T loops). Lineage: Eukaryota; Metazoa; Chordata; Actinopteri; Cichliformes; Cichlidae. The record is from RNAcentral.